UUUUAUGUGUCGACGUGAAAUGACAAAACUACCCCCCAUAACGGUAUGGGAUUUACAAAGAGAUCAAAUGGAUGGCGUCGCGUUGUGAUUUCAAUUGAACCAUCCAGAAUCUCUGAGCGUCGAGAUUUCGAUCAAACGGCCUAGAGUCCCGGAGCUUCCAAAAGCGUCAGUUUCUUUCAAUUCUUUACCUUAGGAUGCCCUAACAACAUACUACAUACAUAUACAUGAUACAGUAUGAAUACGUAUUUUUACUUUACUAAUACGGAUCCCGAUCGCACGCAGCUCACGUGGUGUACAAAGAGACCCAGCCCAGCCCAAACCACCGGAGAAAAAAGAAAAAGAAAAAGAGAAAGAAAAAAAAAAGGGCGCAGAACCGCAGCGCACCAAAAAGUGUACCCACCCCCAGCACGCCCCCCGGCACACGCGAUACCCACCCGCAACGCCCCUGCCGCGAACAGAGCNNNN
Molecule: long non-coding RNA, 465 nt
Filed under: Hordeum vulgare
Lineage: Eukaryota; Viridiplantae; Streptophyta; Magnoliopsida; Poales; Poaceae
Description: long non-coding RNA (HVUL_LNC013698)
Source: RNAcentral